CUGAAAACAAAGAGAAAGAAGAGUAAUUUAGACUUAAUUUACAGCGAGUCUCGUUAGGUGUGAGGAGAUAAAUCCUAAGUUUAAAUGAAAAUCACUUUCGAGUUCUAUUUCUUAACUUAAAGUAAGAAGUAGUGGGAGCACCCAUUAUAGUGCCUACGUAUCGUCGAGUAAUUGACUGUACGUGAAAGGUAUUGCUAGCAAUAGUGAUAUAAAUAAAGGGUGGUACCACGCUCAAAGCGUCCCUCAG
RNAcentral lists this non-coding RNA (247 nucleotides) under Lactobacillus crispatus. RNAcentral describes it as "T-box sequence". It matches the Rfam family "T-box leader". Rfam says of the family: Uncharged tRNA acts as the effector for transcription antitermination of genes in the T-box leader family. T-boxes are found upstream of many aminoacyl-tRNA synthetase genes and some amino acid biosynthetic genes usually in Gram-positive bacteria. Lineage: Bacteria; Bacillati; Bacillota; Bacilli; Lactobacillales; Lactobacillaceae. The record is from RNAcentral.